RNAcentral lists this long non-coding RNA (242 nucleotides) under Medicago truncatula (barrel medic). RNAcentral's name for it is "long non-coding RNA (MTRU_LNC000500)". Lineage: Eukaryota; Viridiplantae; Streptophyta; Magnoliopsida; Fabales; Fabaceae. The record is from RNAcentral.
UCUUCAUAAAUGUCUCAUAAAAAUCCAAUCUAAAAACAUAGUCAUAAAUCUUCUAAAACAAUACGUAAGGAAUAGAAAAGCAAUAACAAAGUUCCCAUCCCGUUACGUAUCAGAGCACCUAGGACACACGAGAGAGAAAGCUCACACGACAUCAACUAUUCUUGGUUACCUGCAAGUUACUCAUACGAAGAGCAACAUUUCCAAGCAGAAGGGGUGAGAUUUCACAAAACAAUAAUAUCAAG